RNAcentral lists this ribosomal RNA (581 nucleotides) under uncultured bacterium. RNAcentral describes it as "bacterial SSU rRNA". It matches the Rfam family "Bacterial small subunit ribosomal RNA", at positions 102 to 669 of the family's 1533-position model. The record is from RNAcentral.
ACGGGUGAGUAACACGUGGGUAACCUGCCUGUAAGAUUGGGAUAACUCCGGGAAACCGGAGCUAAUACCGGAUAACAUUUUGAACCGCAUGGUUCAAAGUUGAAAGACGGCUUCGGCUGUCACUUGCAGAUGGACCCGCGGCGCAUUAGCUAGUUGGUGAGGUAAUGGCUCACCAAGGCGACGAUGCGUAGCCGACCUGAGAGGGUGAUCGGCCACACUGGGACUGAGACACGGCCCAGACUCCUACGGGAGGCAGCAGUAGGGAAUCUUCCGCAAUGGACGAAAGUCUGACGGAGCAACGCCGCGUGAACGAUGAAGGCCUUCGGGUCGUAAAGUUCUGUUGUUAGGGAAGAACAAGUACCAGAGUAACUGCUGGUACCUUGACGGUACCUAACCAGAAAGCCACGGCUAACUACGUGCCAGCAGCCGCGGUAAUACGUAGGUGGCAAGCGUUGUCCGGAAUUAUUGGGCGUAAAGCGCGCGCAGGCGGUUUCUUAAGUCUGAUGUGAAAGCCCACGGCUCAACCGUGGAGGGUCAUUGGAAACUGGGGAACUUGAGUGCAGAAGAGGAGAGUGGAAUUC